Molecule: ribosomal RNA, 254 nt
Filed under: uncultured bacterium
Lineage: Bacteria
Description: partial 16S ribosomal RNA
Rfam family: Bacterial small subunit ribosomal RNA
Source: RNAcentral
AACGUAGGACACAAGCGUUAUCCGGAGUUAUUGGGCGUAAAGAGCUCGUAGGCGGUUAAGAAAGUCGGGUGUGAAACCUCCAGGCUCAACCUGGAGACGCCACUCGAUACUUCUUUGACUUGAGUUCGGUAGGGGUAAGCGGAAUUCCUGGUGUAGCGGUGAAAUGCGCAGAUAUCAGGAGGAACACCGACGGCGAAGGCAGCUUACUGGGCCGAUACUGACGCUGAGGAGCGAAAGCGUGGGGAGCGAACAGG